GACGAACGCUGGCGGCGUGCUUAACACAUGCAAGUCGAACGAAGAGCGAUGGAAGCUUGCUUCUAUCAAUCUUAGUGGCGAACGGGUGAGUAACGCGUAAUCAACCUGCCCUUCAGAGGGGGACAACAGGUGGAAACGACUGCUAAUACCGCAUACGAUCUAAUCUCGUCAUCGAGGAUAGAUGAAAGGUGGUCUCUACAUGUAAGCUAUCACUGAAGGAGGGGAUUGCGUCUGGUUAGCUAGUUGGAGGGGUAACGGCCCACCAAGGCGAUGAUCAGUAGCCGGUCUGAGAGGAUGGACGGCCACAUUGGGAAUGGGACACGGCCCAGACUCCUAAGGGAGGCAGGAGUGGGGAAUCUUCCGCAAUGGACGAAAGUCUGACGGAGCAACGCCGCGUGAGUGAUGACGGCCUUCGGGUUGUAAAGCUCUGUUAAUCAGGACGAAAGGCCUUCUUGCGAAUAGUGAGAAGGAUUGACGGUACCGGAAUAGAAAGCCACGGCUAACUACGUG
RNAcentral lists this ribosomal RNA (510 nucleotides) under uncultured bacterium. Its description in RNAcentral is "partial 16S ribosomal RNA". It matches the Rfam family "Bacterial small subunit ribosomal RNA", at positions 28 to 507 of the family's 1533-position model. The record is from RNAcentral.